AGACUCUUCGACCCUUUCUGAGAGGGUUUUUGGUCUCUUGAGACCUUUAUUUCAUUGUUUGGGAGGGAAAGGGUUUCAAACUAAAUUGAUUAACUUUGGGACAGAGUCUGGGCUUCAGAUCUGGUUUUUGGCCAUGUUUAGUUGUAUUCGAAGGUCGUGGGUUGCGGGGUUGUGGAUGGGAACGUGAGACGGCCACCCGAAACCAGUUUGAGGGGGUUCCGAUGAGUUUAGGGUUUGGGUCCAAU
RNAcentral lists this long non-coding RNA (245 nucleotides) under Nicotiana benthamiana. Its description in RNAcentral is "long non-coding RNA (NBEN_LNC023753)". Lineage: Eukaryota; Viridiplantae; Streptophyta; Magnoliopsida; Solanales; Solanaceae. The record is from RNAcentral.